AGUGGGUCUCUGCUCAAGGUCUGGUGUCCCCACACAGGAGGAUGGACACAUAUAUUUAUAAUGAGGGUUUAGGAUAUGUGCAAGACCAAGAUAAGGGUGGGGCUUGGAAGUCCAUCAUAUUUGAACUGUUCCUGAGAUCUGACUCCAUCUUUCCUUUUCCAGCACCUAGCCAGGAUCCUUUGUGGUCUAACGGGUUGCUGUGCAUGUUUAACUAAUUAGUGGCUAUAAUGUGUUGCCCAAAUGCCAAGUAUAAUUAUGUAUUGAAGAUUGAACAGAGAGCCUUGCGCAUGCUAGUCACAUGCCACCACUGAGUCCCAGCCCCUUGGUGGGGCUUUUCUGUGCCUGCUACCUCUGAGCUUCAUCCAGGAUUCAGAAAUGCAGGAUCAGCGGUGCUUUGGGAGUGAACAUCCAGAGUUUGGGGAGAGGAAGGUUCAGUGUGAAUGCCACUGCAUUUCCCCUCCUGCGCAAUCACAAAAGAACUAUUUUCUUCUCUGUGGCCUCACUUUCCUCGUCCUUAAAAUUAGUACAAAAACCUUUUACUCCUUGAGAUAGAGCCUAUGAAAGAGUUGUGUGCAUUCUAAAUUGAAAACACAGUAUACACAGAAAUUAAAAGCCUCUCCAGUUCUGUUACCAAGACAGCUCCCAAGGCUGCCUUGGAAGGCCUUCAGACUUACAGAAUCUUUAACAUUAGAAGGUCCUUUGUGAGUCUUCUAGACCUUUUGGUUUCAAGAUCUCUUUAUCAAGACAAAUCUCUCAAAAGUAGAGGUCCCAAAGUGGGCGAUGCACAUGUGUUUGGGAAACGGAAGUUUCAGAGAUAGGACAGCCGAAGUCAAGCUUCUGAAAGGCCGUCUGGAAGGCAGACAGUCACACUUCUGAGUGAUGACCUACGUGGGCAAGAACCAGGACUUCCAGCAGAUGCAUCUGGGACAGAUUCAGUAUCAAAUGAAAAGAGAGCCUAUUCUUUGAAGACAGUGCCAGAAAAUUGAAGCAGCUGCUCUGAUAGGAAAAGAGGCAAUCGAGGAGGAACUUCAGAUCAUUUUUAGGGACUGGUCAGAAGAACUGGUAAUGCAACUUACUGACCUUGCUGGGGAAAGGCUCAUUCUCCCUUACCAGGCACCAGGCCUCGAGGGAGGGAAGAGGAGGAGCUCGAGGGGCGGUACAAAUGAGGAAAGCAAAGCAUGAGGUGGACUGAGAACUGAGACCUGGUUUGGCUGAAUGUAACCAGCUUGUAUAGCUACAGUCCCGUCUCUGUCUGCUCCAGGCACCAGCGCUAGAACAGCACACAAUCCACUUAUUCAGUUAACUCAGCAAACAUUUACAGGUCUGAGAGUGAAUUCCCCGCAGUGGACCCACGUGGGAUUACCAGCCUUGAAGAGUCUCCUGCCUAGCAACCAGCAGAGGGCAGAAGAGACACGUAGAUGCCAAACUCUGGCAGCCCACUGCCUAGCUUCCCCGGGGGAGAAACUGGGUCACUUGGUCCUGCCAAGAGCCAACAUUACCGGGGUGGACACAUUGGGGUUCACUACAGGAACAGCGAGGUCUCCCACACCACCUUGCUAAGGCUACUGGAGCAUUCCCGCCUCUGGGCUUGCAAAAGUCACCCCGUUUAUAGGAGGAUGAGACAGACAACAGGACUUGGUUUGUUUGGUUUAUUUUGCUUGAAGCAGUUUGCUGUGGCACUUGUUUGGUGUUUAAGACAAGUUCUCAUUAUGCACUCCAA
Mesocricetus auratus (golden hamster) is the source of this 1720-nucleotide long non-coding RNA. RefSeq lists it as uncharacterized. NCBI's taxonomy places the organism in Eukaryota, Metazoa, Chordata, Mammalia, Rodentia, Cricetidae. The transcript is spliced from 3 exons. The record is from RefSeq and is a predicted model, not a curated record.